RNAcentral lists this ribosomal RNA (1394 nucleotides) under uncultured bacterium. RNAcentral describes it as "bacterial SSU rRNA". It matches the Rfam family "Bacterial small subunit ribosomal RNA", at positions 65 to 1428 of the family's 1533-position model. The record is from RNAcentral.
GGGAUCAGUUGGGUAGCAAUACUCGGCUGUGAGACCGGCAAACGGGUGCGGAACACGUACGCAACUUUCCCAAAACUGGUGAAUAGCCCUCCGAAAGGAGGAUUAAUACACCGUAACAUAAUGAGAUGGCAUCAUCUUAUUAUUAUAGCUCCGGCGGUUUUGGAUGGGCGUGCGCCUGAUUAGGUAGUUGGCGGGGUAAUGGCCCACCAAGCCUACGAUCAGUAACUGGUGUGAGAGCACGACCAGUCACACGGGCACUGAGACACGGGCCCGACUCCUACGGGAGGCAGCAGUAAGGAAUAUUGGUCAAUGGACGAAAGUCUGAACCAGCCAUGCCGCGUGAAGGAUGACGGCCCUCUGGGUUGUAAACUUCUUUUAUCUGGGACGAAAAAAGAUCAUUCUUGAUCACUUGACGGUACCAGAGGAAUAAGCACCGGCUAACUCCGUGCCAGCAGCCGCGGUAAUACGGAGGGUGCCAAGCGUUAUCCGGAUUUACUGGGUUUAAAGGGUGCGUAGGUGGGUUAGUAAGUCCAGUGGUGAAAUCUUCGAGCUUAACUUCGGAAACUGCCGUUGAUACUAUUAAUCUUGAAUAUUCUGGAGGUGAGCGGAAUAUGUCAUGUAGCGGUGAAAUGCUUAGAUAUGACAUAGAACACCGAUUGCGAAGGCAGCUCACUACGGAAUUAUUGACACUGAGGCACGAAAGCGUGGGGAUCAAACAGGAUUAGAUACCCUGGUAGUCCACGCCCUAAACGAUGGAUACUCGACAUUUGCGAUAUACUGGUAAGUGUCUGAGCGAAAGCAUUAAGUAUCCCACCUGGGAAGUACGAUCGCAAGAUUGAAACUCAAAGGGAAUUGACGGGGGGUCCGCACAAGCGGGUGGAGCAUGUGGUUUAAUUUCGAUGAUACGCGAGGAACCCUUACCUGGGCCUAGAAUGCGGUUUUGAUCGGUGAGUGAAAGGCUCAUUUUGGUAGCAAUACACCAGAUCGUUAAGGUGGCUGCCAUGGCUGGUCGUCAGCUCCGGUGCCGUGGAGGGUGUUGGGUUAAGUUCCCGCAAACGAAGCGCAACCCCUAUCAUUAGUUGCCAUCAGGUAAAGCUGGGAACUCUAAUGAAACUGCCGUCGUAAGGCGUGAGGAAGGAGGGGAUGAUGUCAAGUCAUCAUGGCCUUUAUGCCCAGGGCUACACACGUGCUACAAUGGCGAGUACAAAGGGCAGCUACCUGGUGACAGGAUGCUAAUCUCAAAAAACUCGUCUCGGUUCGAAUUGGAGUCUGCAACUCGACUCCAUGAAGCUGGAAUCGCUAGUAAUCGUAUAUCAGCAAUGAUACGGUGAAUACGUUCCCGGACCUUGUACACACCGCCCGUCAAGCCAUGGAAGCUGGGUGUACCUAAAGUC